GUAGGGAAUAUUGCGCAAUGGGGGAAACCCUGACGCAGCGACGCCGCGUGAGUGAUGAAGGCCUUCGGGUCGUAAAGCUCUGUUGCAGGGGAAUAAAAAAAUGAAGGUACCCUGUGAGGAAGGAUCGGCUAACUUCGUGCCAGCAGCCGCGGUAAGACGAGGGAUCCUAGCGUUGCCCGGAAUCAUUGGGCGUAAAGAGGGCGUAGGUGGCUUGGUAAGUCAGGUGUGAAAGCCCAGGGCUCAACCCUGGAAGUGCAUUUGAUACUGCUGAGCUUGAGUGUCGGAGAGGUUACCGGAAUACCUGGUGUAGUGGUGAAAUACGUAGAUAUCAGGUGGAACACCGGAGGCGAAGGCGGGUAACUGGACGAACACUGACACUGAGGCCCGAAAGCGUGGGGAUCAAACAGGAUUAGAAACCCGGGUAGUCC
Molecule: ribosomal RNA, 428 nt
Filed under: uncultured bacterium
Lineage: Bacteria
Description: partial 16S ribosomal RNA
Rfam family: Bacterial small subunit ribosomal RNA
Source: RNAcentral